This 253-nucleotide ribosomal RNA is filed under the name uncultured bacterium. RNAcentral's name for it is "partial 16S ribosomal RNA". It matches the Rfam family "Bacterial small subunit ribosomal RNA", at positions 524 to 776 of the family's 1533-position model. The record is from RNAcentral.
UACGAAGGGGGCUAGCGUUGCUCGGAAUCACUGGGCGUAAAGGGUGCGUAGGCGGGUCUUUAAGUCAGGGGGGAAAUCCUGGAGCUCAACUCCAGAACUGCCUUUGAUACUGAAGAUCUUGAGUUCGGGAGAGGUGAGUGGAACUGCGAGUGCAGAGGUGAAAUUCGUAGAUAUUCGCAAGAACACCAGUGGCGAAGGCGGCUCACUGGCCCGAUACUGGCGCUGAGGCACGAAAGCGUGGGGAGCAAACAGG